CCUACGGGCGGCAGCAGUGGGGAAUAUUGCACAAUGGGGGAAACCCUGAUGCAGCGACGCCGCGUGAGUGAAGAAGUAAUUCGUUAUGUAAAGCUCUAUCAGCAGGGAAGAAAAUGACGGUACCUGAGUAAGAAGCCCCGGCUAAAUACGUGCCAGCAGCCGCGGUAAUACGUAGGGGGCAAGCGUUAUCCGGAUUUACGGGGGGGAAAGGGAGCGUAGGCGGCAGUGCAAGUCUGGAGUGAAAGGCGGGGGCUCAACCCGCGGACUGCUCUGGAAACUGGACGGCUGGAGUGCAGGAGAGGUAAGUGGAAUGCCUGGUGUAGCGGUGAAAUGCGUAGAUAUUAGGAGGAACACCAGUGGCGAAGGCGGCUUACUGGACUGUAACUGACGUUGAGGCUCGAAAGCGUGGGGAGCAAACAGGAUUAGAUACCCGAGUAGUC
This 440-nucleotide ribosomal RNA is filed under the name uncultured bacterium. RNAcentral describes it as "partial 16S ribosomal RNA". It matches the Rfam family "Bacterial small subunit ribosomal RNA", at positions 338 to 795 of the family's 1533-position model. The record is from RNAcentral.